Molecule: non-coding RNA, 432 nt
Organism: Pirellula staleyi DSM 6068
Lineage: Bacteria; Pseudomonadati; Planctomycetota; Planctomycetia; Pirellulales; Pirellulaceae
Rfam family: Bacterial RNase P class A
About the family: Ribonuclease P (RNase P) is a ubiquitous endoribonuclease, found in archaea, bacteria and eukarya as well as chloroplasts and mitochondria.
Source: Rfam
GGAGUUGGGCAGACGACCGCUGGCUGCCAUUUGGCAGCGAGAGGAAAGUCCGGGCUCCACAGGACAGGGUGGUCGAUAACGUCGACCGGUCGUGAGAUCAGGGACAGUGCCACAGAAAACAGACCGCCGCUGCGGGCAUGAGCCCCCGUCAAGGUUUGAUUGUCUGCAUGCGGUAAGGGUGAAACGGUGCGGUAAGAGCGCACCAGCAGUCGAGGCGACUCGGCUGGCUAGGUAAACCCCGCCCGGAGCAAGACCAAGCAGAGAGCAUGUUGUCGGUGUCACAGCCGACAGCCGGAAUCGGUUCGGUUUCGUAUGACUCUCGGGUAGGUUGCCGGAGCUAGCGAGCAAUUGCUAGCCUAGAGAAAUGGUCGUCAGACGUUUUCGAUCCGUCGAAGACGCCAACAGAACCCGGCUUAUUGCCUGACUCCGAAA